This is a long non-coding RNA of Lycium barbarum (goji berry), 1005 nucleotides long. RefSeq lists it as uncharacterized. Lineage: Eukaryota; Viridiplantae; Streptophyta; Magnoliopsida; Solanales; Solanaceae. The transcript is spliced from 2 exons. The record is from RefSeq and is a predicted model, not a curated record.
CUUUUCUCUCUAGUUGAGACUUGUUGUGAUUUGGUGGACUCCAAAUUGUACGACCCCCGUUUGAUCAUUCAAGUUGCAAGAGAUUGUUAUUCUCUUGAGGAUUGUUGCAUAAGAUAGGUGCCUUUGAUCCUUUGGAAGCUUUCAAGGUGUUAGGGAGUGUGAAAACUGUUUUGGAAGUCAAAGGGACUAGUCAAGAGUUGAUUCCCAAGGAGUUGGCGCAUUGAACACCUCCAAAACGUGGAGAAGGGGGCUGCACUCAUUAGGAGAAGUCAAAAAUCAGUUUGGGGUGUGUGAAAGGGUGUAGAGGUAAACAAAUAGUCAAACCAUUAAUUGACACAAGUUCCCAACUCAAUUCUCGGGAAGACUAACAGUCACCUUGAGAAAAGAGUGUCCAAGUUCAUAAUCUCCUCUUAGGAAAACGAGAAAGUCAAGGGUGCAAGUCCCUAGUGAUAGCAUCCAUGGUAGCUCCGAAUUAUUGAAGGACGUGGAUGAAGAUUUGGAAGUUCCAAGAAGACCCAUGACAAGAUCUCAAACAAGGAAAUUACAAGACAAGCUUAAUGGGCUGCAAACAACAAUUCAAAAGUGUCUUGUGAUGGAAGAAGAGCUCCAGCCCAAUUUAGAUUUUUUCCUCAAGUCUUACACUUAUUUGGAGGCCCAAAUUAAAGUCCAAUGUAAGAUGGAAUGAGGCCCAAAUCAGCCACAAAAGAAGAAGUUUCCAGCAGUCCAAAAUUAGCCCAAAUAUUAGUUUCUAGAAUAAAUAUUUAAUUGUUGUUUUAAUCUAUGUUGACUUGCAUUGGUCCAAGUGUGGGUAGUCUUCUAGGUUGUUUUAAUCUAUGUUGACUGCCUUGGUCCAAGUGUGGGAAGUCUUCUAUGCUUCUAGGGAAGAUAAUUCCCAUUUAUUUCUAUUUUGACUAGCUCCUUCUUUACAACUAUAUAAAGGGUUGAUUGUCAUUCAUUGUAAAAUCAGAUUUUGAAGAAUAUAUUAUAUUGAGAGUUCUUUUGAAA